UGACUUCAGAAAGCCAGAGGGCUGCAGGCAUGGGGCAGAGGGGAGGGGAGCCACCGCUUCCUCCAGUUGUCACAGCAGGGAGACAACCUUGAAGGGCCGCACUGGAGAUACUUGCGCAAGGAAGAAUUCAGUGUUCAUGGAUAUGCCCCUUGCAGGACCGAGGCCAUCAGAAGGAGGACAGCCUUGGGAAGCCAUUCUGCAUGUGGUCAUCCUGCCCAGGUGCUAAACAAUGUCUGUGCUGCUUCGGUAUUGCCAGGACUGGUUGGACAUCGAACUGGAAAGAGCAAGAUAAUGGGCAACUACCACGUGAGGAUGAUAAAUGACUGCGCUCUACUAAGGACUAAGUAGGCUGCUGGAAAACAGCUGUUAGAAAUAAAU
Long non-coding RNA from Centrocercus urophasianus (Greater sage-grouse), 378 nucleotides. RefSeq lists it as uncharacterized. NCBI's taxonomy places the organism in Eukaryota, Metazoa, Chordata, Aves, Galliformes, Phasianidae. The record is from RefSeq and is a predicted model, not a curated record. The transcript has 3 exons.